RNAcentral lists this ribosomal RNA (420 nucleotides) under uncultured bacterium. RNAcentral describes it as "bacterial SSU rRNA". It matches the Rfam family "Bacterial small subunit ribosomal RNA", at positions 356 to 773 of the family's 1533-position model. The record is from RNAcentral.
GAGGAAUAUUGGACAAUGGAUGGAAAUCUGAUCCAGCCAUGCCGCGUGCAGGAAGACGGCCCUAUGGGUUGUAAACUGCUUUUGUAUGGGAGCAAUAAGAUCUACGUGUAGAUUGAUGAGAGUACCAUACGAAUAAGCACCGGCUAACUCCGUGCCAGCAGCCGCGGUAAUACGGAGGGUGCAAGCGUUAUCCGGAUUUAUUGGGUUUAAAGGGUGCGUAGGCGGUUUGAUAAGUCAGCGGUGAAAUAUUUCAGCUUAACUGGAAGGGUGCCGUUGAUACUGUCGAGCUUGAAUUUAGUUGCUGUGGGUGGAAUGUGUGGUGUAGCGGUGAAAUGCAUAGAUAUCACACAGAAUAUCGAUUGCGAAGGCAGCUCACAAAGCUAAUAUUGACGCUGAUGCACGAAAGUGUGGGGAUCAAAC